This 548-nucleotide ribosomal RNA is filed under the name uncultured marine picoplankton. RNAcentral's name for it is "SSU rRNA". It matches the Rfam family "Eukaryotic small subunit ribosomal RNA", at positions 599 to 1153 of the family's 1831-position model. The record is from RNAcentral.
GUAUAUUAAAGUUGUUGCGGUAAAAAAGCUCGUAGUUGGAUUUCUGUUGAGAGCGACCGGUCCAUACCAUGUAUGCGUAUCUGGCUUGCUCUCGGCAUCCUCUCGAUAGACGUUGCUGCGCUUGAUUGCGUGGCGCGGAUCUCGGGACUUUUACUUUGAGGAAAUUAGAGUGUUCACGGCAGGCUUUCGCCAGAAUACAUUAGCAUGGAAUAAUACUAUAGGAUCUUGGUUCUAUUUUGUUGGUUUCUAGAAUUGAGAUAAUGAUUAAUAGGGACAAUUGGGGGCAUUCGUAUCAACACGUCAGAGGUGGAAUUCUUGGAUUGUGUUGCGACGAACUACUGCGAAAGCAUUUGCCAAGGAUGUUUUCAUUGAUCAAGAACGAAAGUAAGGGGAUCGAAGACGAUUAGAUACCGUCGUAGUCUUUACCAUAAACUAUGCCGACUAGAGAUGGGGCAUCGUUCAUUUACGACUUGCUCCGCACCUUAUGAGAUAUCAAAGUUUUUGGGUUCCGGGGGGAGUAUGGUCGCAAGACUGAAACUUAAAGGAAU